AUGGCGCCCUCCAGCCUGCUGUGGGCACUGGUGGCCUUCACCUGCUCUGGCUCCAGUGUGGCUCAGAAAGUAACUCAAAACCAGCCAACUAUAGUCACACGACAAGGGUCAAAAGUCACCCUGAAGUGUCGCUAUGAAACAAGCCUAAGCACAUACUACCUGUAUUGGUACAAGCAGCUUCCUGAUGGAAAGAUGACUUAUAUCAUUCAUCAGUACUCUUCAGCCAACAAUGCAGAAAAGGGUCGCUACAGUGUGAACUUUCAAAAGGAAAGAAAAUCCAUCAGCCUUACCAUCUCUUCACUGCAAAUAGAAGACUCAGCACGUUACUUCUGUACCCUGCAUGUCCACAGACAAGGCUUCGCCUUUAUCUUUGGGAAGGGGACAAAGCUGCUUGUCAAACCAAAUAUAAAGAACCCUGACCCCGCUGUGUACGAGCUGAAAGGCAACUCCAACAACACCCUCUGCCUAGCCACCGACUUUCAGUCUGACCAAAAUGUGUCGGCAUCCUCCAAUGACUACUCCAUCACAAACACAACAGCACUGGACAUGGAGAGUACAGCUUCCAAGAGCAACGGGGUCCUGGCCUGGAAGAAUGAAAGUAGUCCGAAUUGUUCCGCUGUCUUCGAGAACUACCAGUUCCGCUCCAGCGAAGGAAUUUCCUGUAAUGCCACAUUAAUAGAGCAAGGCUUUGAAACAGAUAUGUACCUAAACACCCAGAACGUGUUAGUGAUCGUGUUCCGGGUCUUCUUCCUGAAGGUGACUGGGUUCAACCUGCUCAUGACUCUGAGGCUGUGGUCCAGCUGAGGUCGCCAAGACUGAGAGCCCCGUGCUCCUGGCCCCUCGUCCCACACGCCUCUACUCAGUCCUCAAGCAGAGGUGCGCUCUAACAGCCCCCAGAGGAGAAGACUCCCUACGCCCCUCUGGCCCACUGGCAUCAUCUCCAAUUGGAGCCUGCAGGGUAUUUGUGAUCAAGAUGCCAAGUUGCUGCCCAGCUCUGCUGCCAUCCCGACUUCCCUCAUUGCUGCUUCUCACUGCCCGACAUUCCCUGCAAAGGCAGGGGCGGCGGCUGCCUCUCCUGGCUGGGGAGAACCUCCCUAAACUCCCCCCCCCAGAGAACUCCUCUGGGACCCCCGGGGGUGACAGCCCCCCAGUGGGUCCUCAGGCUCCAGCUCCUGCAGAAUGUUACACACAGUUUAUAUUUUUAAAUAGUGUUCAUAAGAAAUACAUAUCAUCCUUCUCCGCAAGAUGCCGGGGACAUGAUCUCAUUAUCCAGGCCUGCUUCUCUGUGUAUCUGAGCCACGCUGUAUAUCCCGCUGCCCACCACUUCAUUAAA
Non-coding RNA from Condylura cristata (star-nosed mole), 1333 nucleotides. Lineage: Eukaryota; Metazoa; Chordata; Mammalia; Eulipotyphla; Talpidae. The record is from the annotation of a RefSeq genome assembly.